Molecule: non-coding RNA, 30 nt
Filed under: Mus musculus (house mouse)
Lineage: Eukaryota; Metazoa; Chordata; Mammalia; Rodentia; Muridae
Source: RNAcentral
CUGACAGUCAUCCCAAGUCAACUGGCUUGU